Molecule: small nucleolar RNA, 191 nt
Filed under: Jaculus jaculus (lesser Egyptian jerboa)
Lineage: Eukaryota; Metazoa; Chordata; Mammalia; Rodentia; Dipodidae
Description: Small nucleolar RNA U3 (ENSJJAG00000002715.1)
Rfam family: Small nucleolar RNA U3
About the family: Small nucleolar RNAs (snoRNAs) are involved in the processing and modification of rRNA in the nucleolus.
Source: Rfam by way of RNAcentral
AUGACACGCAAAUUUGUGAAGUGUUCCAUAUUUUUGUGUAGAGCACCGGAAACCACGAGGAGGAGGUGCAGCGUUCUCUCCUGAGCGUGAAGCUGGCCCUGGGCGCUGCUCUGUGCAACUGCCCUUUGCCAUUGAUGAUCUUUCUUCUCUCCCCCGGGGGAGUAAGAGGGAGAGAAUGCAGUCUGAGUGGG